UACGGGGGGGGCAAGCGUUGUUCGGAAUUACUGGGCGUAAAGGGCUCGUAGGCGGCCAACUAAGUCGGACGUGAAAUCCCCAGGCUCAACCUGGGAACUGCGUCCGAUACUGGAUGGCUUGAAUUCGGGAGAGGGAUGCAGAAUUCCAGGUGUAGCGGUGAAAUGCGUAGAUAUCUGGAGGAAUACCGGUGGCGAAGGCGGCAUCCUGGACCGGCAUUGACGCUGAUGAGCGAAAGCUAGGGGAGCAAACGGG
This 253-nucleotide ribosomal RNA is filed under the name uncultured bacterium. RNAcentral's name for it is "partial 16S ribosomal RNA". It matches the Rfam family "Bacterial small subunit ribosomal RNA", at positions 524 to 776 of the family's 1533-position model. The record is from RNAcentral.